GACAGAGGGUGCAAACGUUGUUCGGAAUUACUGGGCGUAAAGCGUGUGUAGGCGGUUUGCUAAGUCGGGUGUGAAAGCCCCGGGCUCAACCCGGGAAGUGCACUCGAAACUGGCAGGCUAGAGUACUGGAGAGGUUGGUGGAAUUCUCGGUGUAGCGGUGAAAUGCGCAGAUAUCAGGAGGAACACCAAUGGCGAAGGCAGCACUCUGGGACGUGACUGACGCUGAGACGCGAAAGCGUGGGGAGCAAACAGG
Molecule: ribosomal RNA, 253 nt
Filed under: uncultured bacterium
Lineage: Bacteria
Description: partial 16S ribosomal RNA
Rfam family: Bacterial small subunit ribosomal RNA
Source: RNAcentral